GGGAAUUCGAUUAGAGUUUGAUCAUGGCUCAGAACGUACGCUGGCGGCACGCCUAACACAUGCAAGUCGAACGAAGUAGCAAUACUUAGUGGCAGACGGGUGAGUAACAUGUAGGUAUCUGCCCUUUGGCCUGGAAUAACACGAGGAAACUUGUGCUAAUACCGGAUAAGUCUUUACAGAGAAAGCUUUAUGCACCAUUGGAUGAGCCUGCACUUGAUUAGUUUGUUGGUGGGGUAAUGGCCUACCAAGACUGUGAUCAAUAGCUGAUUUGAGAGGAUGAUCAGCCACAUUGGGACUGAGACACGGCCCAAACUCCUACGGGAGGCAGCAGUGGGGAAUCUUGCACAAUGGAGGAAACUCUGAUGCAGCGAUGCCGCGUGAGUGAAGAAGGCCCUUGGGUUGUAAAGCUCUUUCGUCGGGGAAGAAAAUGACUGUACCCGAAUAAGAAGGUCCGGCUAACUUCGUGCCAGCAGCCGCGGUAAUACGAAGGGACCUAGCGUAGUUCGGAAUUACUGGGCUUAAAGAGUUCGUAGGUGGUUGAAAAAGUUGGUGGUGAAAUCCCAGAGCUUAACUCCGGAACUGCCAUCAAAACUUUUCAGCUAGAGUAUGAUAGAGGAAAGCAGAAUUUCUAGUGUAGAGGUGAAAUUCGUAGAUAUUAGAAAGAAUACCAAUUGCGAAGGCAGCUUUCUGGAUCAUUACUGACACUGAGGAACGAAAGCAUGGGUAGCGAAGAGGAUUAGAUACCCUCGUAGUCCAUGCCGUAAACGAUGUGUGUUAGACGUUGGAAAUUUAUUUUCAGUGUCGCAGCGAAAGCGAUAAACACACCGCCUGGGGAGUACGACCGCAAGGUUAAAACUCAAAUGAAUUGACGGGGACCCGCACAAGUAGUGGAGCAUGUGGUUUAAUUCGAAGAUACGCGCAGAACCUUACCAACACUUGACAUGUUCGUCGCGACUCUAAGAGAUUAGAGUUUUCGGUUCGGCCGGACGAAACACAGGUGCUGCAUGGCUGUCGUCAGCUCGUGUCGUGAGAUGUUGGGUUAAGUCCCGCAACGAGCGCAACCCUCACUUUUAGUUGCCAUCAUUUAGUUGGGCACUCUGAAAGAACUGCCAGUGAUAAGCUGGAGGAAGGUGGGGAUGACGUCAAGUCCUCAUGGCCCUUACGUGUUGGGCUACACACGUGCUACAAUGGUAUCUACAACAGGAAGCGAAACAGCGAUGUUAAGCAAAUCCUUAAAAGAUACCUCAGUUCGGAUUGCACUCUGCAACUCGAGUGCAUGAAGCUGGAAUUACUAGUAAUCGUGGAUCAGCGUGCCACGGUGAAUGCGUUCCCG
This 1333-nucleotide ribosomal RNA is filed under the name uncultured bacterium. Its description in RNAcentral is "bacterial SSU rRNA". It matches the Rfam family "Bacterial small subunit ribosomal RNA", at positions 1 to 1376 of the family's 1533-position model. The record is from RNAcentral.